Molecule: long non-coding RNA, 1107 nt
Organism: Columba livia (rock pigeon)
Lineage: Eukaryota; Metazoa; Chordata; Aves; Columbiformes; Columbidae
Exons: 3
Source: RefSeq, a predicted model, not a curated record
AGCCAUUUGCAAAGUGCAGGCUUCCUUUAAAGCAAAAGCUGCUAUAGGAAUUGUUUCUAUUAUAACUGUUCUGAGCUAUAAAUACACAGUAAAUUAUUAGUCAGGUAUUUUCUACAUGACUGCACAGUAUCCCUAACUUUGCACAUAGGCAUAUUAUUUAACCCUUUGUUUUAUGCUCUCUGGCAAUUCUCCACAGGACGGGGGAGGACCUACCAUGCUAGUCAAACUCUUUGAGUGAAGUUAUCAGUGCUGGAAGACCAAAGAGUGGCUGAAGAUGUGAUCUGGAAAAGGUGAAACUAAAAGAACCUUCCUCUACAUCUUGGUAGGUAUCAGGAUCCAUGAAUGAUACAUAUCACCAUGAUGUAGAAACUCACGACGUUUGCAGGACACUUUGCCAUGCCUGGAUCAUGUGAUAAUCUGAAUCAGGCUGCCCUCCCUUCCACCUCUUCAGUUCUAAGCAAUGAUCUGCAUCUCUUAAAGUCUGGAGAAGAAAAAUAUAUAAAACCUUUGGAGCACAUGUCCAGACCUGUCCCUAGGGAGCAACUUGCAACAGGAACAUUCACAGAUGAAAUGCCAGCUGAAGAGUACCCAGUUACCAAGAUCAAUCAUAAGGAUAAAAGUCUAGCUUGUGAAAGUCUCAUUUCGAGAGUCUUGAAAAACGUGAAGAACCACUCUUUGUGUCCCAAAUGGAACAGAAAAGGUUUCAGGCCCAGUGCUCUGUAAAUGAGGAGGAGGAAUCCUUCCCAUCUACAGGGAAGUAGAAUGUUGUACAGAAACAGAAUGUAAUAGAAAGAUAUAGACAAAUUUCAAAACUGUUCAGGAAAUCGUUGUGAGUAAAGAGUACAUUUGCUGAAAUUGGACCAAAUACAAGAGAAGAAAGCAAGGACUGACUUCAUUGGGAUAUACUGAGAAAGUGGUUUAGACACUAGGAGUUGUUUUAUGUCUGACCCAAAGGUUAAUGAUCUUCUUCCUUGCUUUCAUCAGGGUGACUUAUGGCAUUUUAGUUUAUGUACAGCACCUGCACCAGCAUGCAGUCUGUCUUCUCUUGCAUUACUGUGUUACAAAGGUGAAGUACAAUGACAGAGAAUAAACUCAUUGGUCAAGGAA